UGGCAGUCAGAGGCGAUGAAGGACGUAUUAACUUGCGAUAAGCCCAGAUUAGGUAGUAAAAACCAUUUGAGUCUGGGAUUUCCGAAUGGGGAAACCCACUUACAUAAGUAAGUAUCGUUAUGUGAAUACAUAGCAUAACGAGGCGAACCGGGGGAACUGAAACAUCUAAGUACCCCGAGGAAAAGAAAUCAACCGAGAUUCCGAAAGU
RNAcentral lists this ribosomal RNA (208 nucleotides) under Vibrio sp. OPT46. RNAcentral describes it as "partial 23S ribosomal RNA". It matches the Rfam family "Bacterial large subunit ribosomal RNA", at positions 34 to 244 of the family's 2925-position model. Lineage: Bacteria; Pseudomonadati; Pseudomonadota; Gammaproteobacteria; Vibrionales; Vibrionaceae. The record is from RNAcentral.